GGGCAGAUGUCAGAGUGGUCGAAUGAGCACGCUUGGAAAGCGUGUGUAGCAGCAAUGUUACCGAGGGUUCGAAUCCCUCUCUGCCCGCCA
RNAcentral lists this transfer RNA (90 nucleotides) under Akkermansiaceae bacterium. RNAcentral's name for it is "tRNA-Ser". It matches the Rfam family "tRNA". From Rfam's summary of the family: Transfer RNA (tRNA) molecules are approximately 80 nucleotides in length. Their secondary structure includes four short double-helical elements and three loops (D, anti-codon, and T loops). Further hydrogen bonds mediate the characteristic L-shaped molecular structure. tRNAs have two regions of fundamental functional importance: the anti-codon, which is responsible for specific mRNA codon recognition, and the 3' end, to which the tRNAs corresponding amino acid is attached (by aminoacyl-tRNA synthetases). tRNAs cope with the degeneracy of the genetic code in two manners: having more than one tRNA (with a specific anti-codon) for a particular amino acid; and 'wobble' base-pairing, i.e. permitting non-standard base-pairing at the 3rd anti-codon position. The record is from RNAcentral. Lineage: Bacteria; Pseudomonadati; Verrucomicrobiota; Verrucomicrobiia; Verrucomicrobiales; Akkermansiaceae.